GACGAACGCUGGCGGCGUGCUUAACACAUGCAAGUCGAACGGAAAGGCCCUGCUUUUGUGGGGUGCUCGAGUGGCGAACGGGUGAGUAACACGUGAGUAACCUGCCCUUGACUUUGGGAUAACUUCAGGAAGCUGGGGCUAAUACCGGAUAGGAGCUCCUGCUGCAUGGUGGGGGUUGGAAAGUUUCGGCGGUUGGGGAUGGACUCGCGGCUUAUCAGCUUGUUGGUGGGGUAGUGGCUUACCAAGGCUUUGACGGGUAGCCGGCCUGAGAGGGUGACCGGCCACAUUGGGACUGAGAUACGGCCCAGACUCCUACGGGAGGCAGCAGUGGGGAAUAUUGCACAAUGGGCGGAAGCCUGAUGCAGCAACGCCGCGUGCGGGAUGACGGCCUUCGGGUUGUAAACCGCUUUCGCCUGUGACGAAGCGUGAGUGACGGUAAUGGGUAAAGAAGCACCGGCUAACUACGUG
Molecule: ribosomal RNA, 468 nt
Filed under: uncultured bacterium
Lineage: Bacteria
Description: partial 16S ribosomal RNA
Rfam family: Bacterial small subunit ribosomal RNA
Source: RNAcentral